Non-coding RNA from Podarcis lilfordi (Lilford's wall lizard), 71 nucleotides. Lineage: Eukaryota; Metazoa; Chordata; Lepidosauria; Squamata; Lacertidae. The record is from the annotation of a GenBank genome assembly.
GGGUCAUAACUCAGUGGGAGAGCAUCUGCUUUGCAUGCAGAAGGUUGCAGGUUCAGUCCCUGGAGAUAUCU